UUUUUUUUUUUUUAGCUACAAAAGUCAAUGAGGAAAACAAACAGAUGGUUUUAUGUCAGAAAACUAAAUAGUACAAAAUAUUUUAAUGCGGAGUUCCCGUCGUGGCGCAGUGGUUAACGAAUCCGACUAGGAACCAUGAGGUUGCAGGUUCGGUCCCUGCCCUUGCUCAGUGGGUUAAUGAUCCGGCGUUGCUGUGAGCUGUGGUGUAGGUUGCAGACGCGGCUCGGAUCCCGCGUUGCUGUGGCUCUGGCGUAGGCCGGUGGCUACAGCUCCGAUUCAACCCCUAGCCUGGGAACCUCCAUAUGCCGCGGGAGCGGCCCAAGAAAUAGCAACAACAACAACAACAAAAAGACAAAAGACAAAAAAGACAAAAGACAAAAAAAAAUAUUUUAAUGCAACUUCAAUUCCAUCUUCACGCCCUUAACAUAGAAGGGCAGGUAGCACUUACAAGGGCUCCAUCUGUUCCAAGCUCGGUUCCAAGUACUUCAUAGGAACAACCUCCCUUAAUCCUGAUAACAACCCUCAUGUUGCCCAUUUUAAAGAUGAGGAAACUGACACGAAGAAAAGUAACUCGUCUAAGGAAACAGCUAAUAAAUGACAAAGCCAGUGCAAAGACGGAUCUGCUUGAUUCCAAAACCCAUUUAUUUAACCCUUGUUUACUACUGACAAUAAAAACUCUUAUAAACUAACUUGAUGUUGAAAACUUACACCUGGUAUUAACAAACGACAAGUUCCCAAGUGGCUAAACUUCACAUCUCUUAAGAGUUUUCAUCUAAAGAGUUCCCAUCGUGGCUCAGUGGUUAACGAUCUCUCGUUGCUGUGGCUGUGGUAUAGACGGGCGGCUACAGCUCUGAUUAGACCCCCAGUCUGGGAACCUCCAUAUGCCACAGAAGCAGCCCUAAAAAGACACACAUACAUACAUAAAUGGAAGCUAAAAGGAUUCCUUCAGAUAAGUAUGGAGACCAGUCCCUUAAAAUCGUUAGCAACAAAAGUUUUGCACACUCAUGACUCCGCAGUCCUGCAACCCGAGGACUGUUUCCGACUGCAGGGAUUCGACACUUUUUCUGCAUGUUUCCAGAUCCUACUUAGCCUUCAGAGAGGUCAUUCCCGUCCCUCCCGUCAUCCAUGUAUGUUUCUCCUGUCACUCUGGAAAUGACUUCAACUUCUUAAUUCCUACAACUACACUUAUUAUAAUGGUUUAGCUUAUUGCACAGGGUUUAGCAGAUAAUGACUCCCCCAAUAAGAAGAAAAAUAUCUGAAGUAAAAGAGACAAGAUUUACCCUCCUACCUGAAACCACCACCACCAAAUAUAUAUAUAACAAUGCUUUUCAGGGUACUGCAUAGCAGGCAAUGAGGAACCCUGGCCGCUGAGAGAUAAGAAAGAAAUCAGGUGAGACCCACAUUUGCGCCUGCAUAUACGGUCUUGAGAGGGUUUACCAGGAAGAGGGAAUCCAGCUCACUCACUCCCUGGGUUCAAAAGACAGAGGGAAAGUCUGGGAAGACCAAGGCAGCGAGAGUGGAUACAACAGACAACCACAGAGGGGAGACUCUCCCAGAGAGAGCACCAAAUACGUGCAGGGGAUCUUUUAAAAAUUGAGCAGGGUACCAAUUUGCAUAAAUGUGAGGACACAGUCAGUCAGGGAAAGCACCUGCUUGAAAGGACUAAAAAGAACAAUACCCAGAGCUGACCUAAGACUGAGAACAGGGGCGGCCCAGGGAAA
Molecule: long non-coding RNA, 1721 nt
Filed under: Sus scrofa (pig)
Lineage: Eukaryota; Metazoa; Chordata; Mammalia; Artiodactyla; Suidae
Description: lncRNA (ENSSSCG00015002364.1)
Source: RNAcentral